Molecule: ribosomal RNA, 460 nt
Filed under: uncultured bacterium
Lineage: Bacteria
Description: partial 16S ribosomal RNA
Rfam family: Bacterial small subunit ribosomal RNA
Source: RNAcentral
CCUACGGGGUGCAGCAGUGGGGAAUAUUGGUCAAUAGGCGCGAGCCUGAACCAGCCAAGUCGCGUGAGGGAAGACGGCCCUACGGGUUGUAAACCUCUUUUGCCGGGGAGCAACGGGCGCCACGUGUGGCGCCACUGAGAGUACCCGGAGAAAAAGCAUCGGCUAACUCCGUGCCAGCAGCCGCGGUAAAACGGAGGAUGCGAGCGUUAUCCGGAUUUAUUGGGGUUAAGGGGUGCGUAGGCGGAGCGUUAAGUCAGGGUGCAAAUUGGUGGGCUCAAACCCUUCCCGCCAUUGAAACUGGCGCUCUUGAGUGUAAGAGAAGUAUGCGGAAUGCGUGGUGUAGCGGUGAAAUGCAUAGAUAUCACGCAGAACCCCGAUUGCGAAGGCAGCAUGCCGGCUUCCGACUGACGCUGAAGCACGAAAGCGUGGGGAUCGAACAGGAUUAGAUACCCGAGUAGUC